Small nucleolar RNA from Heterocephalus glaber (naked mole-rat), 129 nucleotides. The record is from Ensembl. Lineage: Eukaryota; Metazoa; Chordata; Mammalia; Rodentia; Bathyergidae.
GGCUUCCUGUGAUUUCCAGGCUAUGUUCUUACACUGACUGUACAGAAAGUGGAGGGAGAAGAAACCUCCUCCAUCUACACCUCGACCCAGACCUGGCAACUUGUCUGUAUCAUGCGUGCAGAGAUAAGG